Long non-coding RNA from Gasterosteus aculeatus aculeatus (three-spined stickleback), 5052 nucleotides. Lineage: Eukaryota; Metazoa; Chordata; Actinopteri; Perciformes; Gasterosteidae. The record is from Ensembl.
CCGUCUAUCACCUGAAGUAGGCUGGACAGACUCCAGCCCCCCAAGACCCCGUGUGCAGGAUGAGCGGUGUGAAGAUGGAUGGAUGGAUGGAUGGAUGGAUGAAUGGAUGGAUGAAUGGAUGGAUGGAUGGAUGAAUGGAUGGAUGAAUGGAUGAAUGGAUGGAUGAAUGGAUGGAUGGAUGGAUGAAUGGAUGGAUGAAUGGAUGAAUGGAUGAAUGGAUGGAUGGAUGGAUGAAUGGAUGGAUGAAUGGAUGGAUGGAUGGAUGAAUGGAUGGAUGGAUGGAUGAUGGAUGAAUGGAUGGAUGGAUGAAUGGAUAUGAAUGGAUCACUGAACUGCUAAUCCGAUCAGGCAGUAACUUAGUAUAUUUAAUCUCGUACAUACAGGGAGAUGUAUACAUAAAUGUAUAUGGUAUAUUUAAUUACAUUACAGGUUGAUAACCCUGGAGCAGUUUGAUAAGGAGAAUAUUUAGACGUGUUUUAUCUCCUGUGAUGAGCACAGUGUGAACACGCUGUGGUUGGUAAAGUCCAGUGGUGUGAUUGUGUAAUUAUACAUAGCCUAGCGUAGCACGUGGACAAGACACACGCGCAUCACAAGUCAAUUCAUUUUAUUUUGUAUAGCCCAAAAUCGCUAAUUAACCAUUUUUCUCAGAGGGCUUUAAACUCGCACAUGUACAUGCGACGUUGUUUUCUCCCAAAACCUUCACAUCAGCACACGAAGUAACCUCAGUGAGAACGUCAGAGGACCGAGUACAAAUCACAAUACAAUAUUCAACACACUGACUUUGGCUUCAUUUAAUGUCAUUUCUGAACAAAACACAGCUCGACCCAUGACAAUAUUCCUGUUAUUAGGAUCAAUAGUAGACAGUCAUCAUGCAUUGACUCAGGUAUAAAGUAUUUUAUGGUAGAGAUCAUUUGUAUAAUAUUAAUAGAUAACGAGUACGUGCAGUGAGUAGUCUGUGUUAUCAUCGGUUCAUAUUUCAUACUGCCUAGUACAAUAAAAGCUCGUUAUCACUUCCUGUUUCAUUAAAUAUAUCAAGUCACAUCCAGUCUCUGAACACGUUGUUCAGUACUGUAAUUCUGGUCCCAGAACAAUAAGGAGAAUAUAAGUGUUCCACUAAUUGACCCACGGCACAUUGACUGUGUUAUCUGGUUAUUAUUCCUUCUCCGAUCAUCGGUCUUGGACCCACAUGGGCGCACGGCUGUGUUUUCAAAGCCUCAUUCAGCGAGGGCUUACCUCGCCUCUCCUGAUUGGCCGGCGGUGAAUUGUUCUGCGAGGUGUGAACCCUGCUCACAUUCCUCUGUGACAUGUUCUGCUCUUUAGAGACGUGAUGUCAUCAGGUUUGGACACAAAGCAGAAACAAUCAUCAAUUAAUCAAUCAGUCAAUGGGAGACAGAUAUUGAUCAUGUCAAAAAAUGGAUGCUGUGUGACAGAAAAAAAAUCUUGCUGAUAUCGAUGGUGAUGAUGGUAAUGAUGAUGAUGAUGAGGGGUGGUAAUCUCUUGGCACCUCAUGAUUCGAUUCUAAACCGAUUGUCGAUUAUCAAUUCUAAAUCGAUAAAACGGUUAUUUAAAACAUUUGAGUUUGCUACUCAGAGUCUGAAUUCUGAGGUUGCUGCUCAGAGGUUGAUAAUCACUUCCUACUUGUUUGAUGAUUUUUAAAAAUCAACAGAUGAAUUACAUUCUCUAAUUUUUUGUAAGAGAAAAAAAAUCAAUAAUGCAAUAACCAUUUUAACACAAUAUGGAAGUAGCCUCUGUAAAGAAAUAUUGAACAGAUUAUUUUUUCUUUUAAAUUAUUAAAGAAAAAGCUGUUUGAAGUCUUAUUCUUACCAAUGAUAAGAAGUAGAAAGACUUCGGUAAUAACAGCAUAUCCAACCGCUAGAAAAAAGUUAUGCUACUUUAUUUCAACACAUUUCAACAUUACAUUCAAAAGUAAACCGAAAUAACAUAACGUAAAUGGAGGUAAAUUAAAUUAAAUUAAUUAAAUCUUGGCAGUGUACCAUGAAAGUGCCACAUAGUAACGGUCCUUAAUUUACAGUUAAUAACUGAAUAGCUCACGUAAUAGAAGUUCUAAAUAUCCUCAAUUCUUUACUUUAGUGACAUAUUGACGGAUUGUGGAGAGCCCCCACCCCCUCUCCAUAUUCAGCAGUCUUUUGAAGGGGGGCGUUCAAGGACAUUGAAGGUGGACUCGGGUUGUAGGGUUCAGGAAGGCCUCGAGGGAAGCCUGGCAGAAACCUCAAAGGUCUGGAUCCAAGGCAGACUCCAUGGAGGCCUCUCAGAGGUCACCUCUCGGGCCUCAAAGGUCACACCUCGCAUGCUAGCAUGUGAAUCUAAGGUGGUGAAUAUGUUGAACUUCUGCUGACCAUCAGCACGUUAGCAUUUAGUUCAAAGCAGCACUUCAACAGAGCAGGACCACGUAAAACAUACGAACAAAAGCUCAUAGUACAGUUUAGGGGGUGAGGGUUCACGGUCCAUAACCCCUCAACUGUAUUGAACUGUACUGGACCAUGACCCAUUCAGUCAUUUUUCAGGGCUGUGGUCCAUUGGUUUGACAUUUGUAGUAAAUUGGUCCCAAUAUAAGAGAUGUAGACAGUGUGCCAGUACGUUGGUCCUCAAUGAUCUGAACUAUGAAGUGUCAUUGACACACACACACACACACACUAAUUGGGUCCCUGUGGGACACUGCUCAUCAUUCAUGAAUUCAAGUUCUCCCUGAUGUCCUCUUCCUCUGACUCCACCAGACCCUAUGAGGUCAAAGGUUACCUCUGUGAGGAGGACCACCUGACACCUACCAUUAGGAGCUACAUCGAGAGCUUAUCUCCCUGUUAUCAACUACCUCAUGUCUUUCCACCAUCAACCAUGACAUAAUGAUCACGUAUUGAUUGUUGUCUGGUUCGUGCCGUCAUUGGGCUUAGUAUCUAUGGAGACACCGUAUGGAAAUAUCUACACUUGUUUAGGACUUUGGAGGGCGACCGGUCAGACCAUCAUGCGCUGCACACAACAGUUACCCCCAUGGUGUGGUGGGCUCUGCUUGUUUUUAGCAAAUUGAUCCUGGCAGUGCUGAUGAGGAGCGUUUGAUCGGUGCUGAAUCCUUCCUGGUCUCUUCUGACCAGCUGGAAGGACUGCUAGUGGUUGAAAGGAGGGAACAGGUUUCUUGCCCAUCUACUGCUGUAAAACACGUUUCCCGUUUGAAAGGAACCAGUCAAGGUGUUCACAUGUUUACUUCUGCUUUAUAUUAAUAUUUGCGUCAGAGUCUAUAGAAAAGAAUGUUCUGCAGGCUGCUGUGUGGUGAUCUCAGAGAACUUGACGAAGACCUGCAUGCUUCAACACGAGACCGACAGGCACAGCGAGGUGGGAGGAGCCGUCUGAGCCUCCAGGCUGAUGUUUUGUCAGGAAGCUUCUCUGUGAACACAAGCUGGUUCUUACUUGAGCCGUACGGAUUCUAUCUGCCGUCUUUAGACUCCACAGCUGCCUCCUCUCUGUUCCCCCUUGGUCCUCCUCCCUGUUGGUGUUUCGGUUGGAUUACUUCCGACGAGUGCUGAGAGGUGUUGGAGUCGUACUCUGGUCCCACUGCAGAGGAAGCAAGCUUGGAUACAAAGACAGCGUUCUGCAGAAUAGUCAAGCUGUUUGACAUUGCUGAACAUAUUGCUAAACACGAGAAACUACACAGAAAUAAAAAUAAAAUGGAAUGAGUCUGAUUUAUGUUUUCUGUUGGUUUUGGUUAAAAAAAGCUAAGAAAACACUGUAGACUCCUGCCUAAAAGGCUUAUUGCUGCCAUUUGAUGACAAAUGCAAAAAAUGCCACCAAUUUCUUAUAAAAUGUGCCUGGUUUUCGGUCAGUGGGGGCCUGAAUAAUAUGUAACGUCCCUGUGCCCCGACGCGGACAGCGAAAGCUAUUAUGUGCCGGACCCGGACGCUCCUAAUUUGAUGCUGUUUCCGGUCUUUUCUUUCGGCGAUCGCCCGUCAAACGUAGGUUAUGUUAAUUCAUACAAGUCAACAAAUCUACGUGUCAAAUCUCAUGAAUACAUUUAAAUAGUUACAUGUCUGCCUACUGCAGGAAAGUUACUGUGCUGAGAAAGUAGUAAGACUCACUGGGGCGACGAUGAAAGAGCUUUUAUUGCGCUAUUUGGAGGUGUUGAAGCGUACCGGCCCCUUAAUGGUGUCGUACUGGUCUCCUUCUGGACUCGUACCGGCCCCUUAAUGGUGUCGUACUGGUCUCCUUCUGGACUCGUACUGGUCCCUUAAUGGUGUCGUACUGGUCUCCUUCUGGACUCGUACUGGUCCCUUAAUGGUGUCGUACUGGUCUCCUUCUGGACUCGUACUGGUCCCUUAACGGUGUCGUACUGGUCUCCUUCUGGACUCGUACUGGUCCCUUAACGGUGUCGUACUGGUCUCCUUCUGGACUCGUACUGGUCCCUUAAUGGUGUCGUACUGGUCUCCUUCUGGACUCGUACUGGUCCCUUAAUGGUGUCGUACUGGUCUCCUUCUGGACUCGUACUGGUCCCUUAAUGGUGUCGUACUGGUCUCCUUCUGGACUCGUACUGGUCCCUUAAUGGUGUCGUACUGGUCUCCUUCUGGACUCGUACUGGUCCCUUAAUGGUGUCGUACUGGUCUCCUUCUGGACUCGUACUGGUCCCUUAAUGGUGUCGUACUGGUCUCCUUCUGGACUCGUACUGGUCCCUUAAUGGUGUCGUACUGGUCUCCUUCUGGACUCGUACUGGUCCCUUAAUGGUGUUGUACUGGUCUCCUUCUGGACUCGUACUGGUCCCUUAAUGGUGUUGUACUGGUCUCCUUCUGGACUCGUACUGGUCCUUUAAUGGUGUCGUACUGGUCUCCUUCUGGACUCGUACUGGUCCCUUAAUGGUGUAGUACUGGUCUCGUUAGUUGAUCAGUGAACCCGUAGAACAUCAAGAACAAGAUAUUACGACACCUCUAAUAGUAUUUCUUUGUUGAUUCUCACCUCCUUUAGUUCUUAUAUUUAAUUUGUUUCUACAUAGUCAGCUGAUACAUAAAUAAAUAAAUACAGCAGGUUGACCCUCUGUGACACAGAAGGCUGCCA